UUCCAAAGUGUUGAGUACAACUCUGGGUAUCUUCCCUGUGUUGUUAAUUGAACUUUGGGACAUUAAUUUUGCUAUGCAU
Molecule: small nucleolar RNA, 79 nt
Organism: Protopterus annectens (West African lungfish)
Lineage: Eukaryota; Metazoa; Chordata; Ceratodontiformes; Protopteridae
Source: RefSeq, a predicted model, not a curated record